RNAcentral lists this long non-coding RNA (216 nucleotides) under Carica papaya (papaya). Its description in RNAcentral is "long non-coding RNA (CPAP_LNC015335)". Lineage: Eukaryota; Viridiplantae; Streptophyta; Magnoliopsida; Brassicales; Caricaceae. The record is from RNAcentral.
AACUCAUUUUUUCAUGCCCCCACCAGAUGAGGAAGAUAGUGAGGAACCAUCCGCUACCUACCUCUUGAAGUCUAUGAGGAUCCCAUAGAUCCACAAACCUUGAGUGCAUGACUAUUCUCGCACUCUGAUGAGUCCAAUAGCAUAAUGAUAGAAGUGACCCUUUUCAUCUUAUAUUUUGUAUUUUGAUGCCACUUCUAGCCUCUAUUAUAUAUGUAU